GUUUUUAUAGUUGAACAACAACAGUGGUUUUUCGUAUCGCAGGUUUUGGUUAAAACCCAAGUAAAAACU
Molecule: transfer RNA, 69 nt
Filed under: Oreolalax omeimontis (Omei lazy toad)
Lineage: Eukaryota; Metazoa; Chordata; Amphibia; Anura; Megophryidae
Description: tRNA-Glu
Rfam family: tRNA
About the family: Transfer RNA (tRNA) molecules are approximately 80 nucleotides in length. Their secondary structure includes four short double-helical elements and three loops (D, anti-codon, and T loops). Further hydrogen bonds mediate the characteristic L-shaped molecular structure. tRNAs have two regions of fundamental functional importance: the anti-codon, which is responsible for specific mRNA codon recognition, and the 3' end, to which the tRNAs corresponding amino acid is attached (by aminoacyl-tRNA synthetases). tRNAs cope with the degeneracy of the genetic code in two manners: having more than one tRNA (with a specific anti-codon) for a particular amino acid; and 'wobble' base-pairing, i.e. permitting non-standard base-pairing at the 3rd anti-codon position.
Source: RNAcentral